CAAUAGCGUAUAUUAAAGUUGUUGCAGUUAAAAAGCUCGUAGUUGAAUUUUUGCUUGCCGCCGAUGUCGGAACUUCCGUACGUUCGGCGGCGUGCAUCCUUGGGUGGAACCUGUGUGGCAUUAGGUUGUCGUGCAGGGGAUGCUCAUCGUUUACUGUGAAAAAAUUAGAGUGUUCAAAACAGGCUUACGCCGUUGAAUAUAUUAGCAUGGAAUAAUAAGAUAGGACCUUGGUACUAUUUUGUUGGUUUGCGCACCGAGGUAAUGAUUAACAGGGACAGUUGGGGGUAUUCGUAUUCCAUUGUCAGAGGUGAAAUUCUUGGAUUUCUGGAAGACGAACUACUGCGAAAGCAUUUACCAAGGAUGUUUUCAUUAA
Molecule: ribosomal RNA, 373 nt
Filed under: uncultured eukaryote
Lineage: Eukaryota
Description: partial 18S ribosomal RNA
Rfam family: Eukaryotic small subunit ribosomal RNA
Source: RNAcentral